GACGAACGCUGGCGGCGUGCUUAACACAUGCAAGUCGAACGGAAAGGCCCUGCUUGCAGGGUACUCGAGUGGCGAACGGGUGAGUAACACGUGGGUGAUCUGCCCUGCACUUCGGGAUAAGCCUGGGAAACUGGGUCUAAUACCGGAUAGGAGCCAUUUUUAGUGUGAUGGUUGGAAAGUUUUUUCGGUGUAGGAUGAGCUCGCGGCCUAUCAGCUUGUUGGUGGGGUAAUGGCCUACCAAGGCGGCGACGGGUAGCCGGCCUGAGAGGGUGGGCGGCCACAGUGGGACUGAGAGACGGCCCAGACUCCUACGGGAGGCAGCAGUGGGGAAUAUUGCACAAUGGGCGCAAGCCUGAUGCAGCGACGCCGCGGGGGGGAUGACGGCCUUCGGGUUGUAAACUCCUUUCGCUAGGGACGAAGCUUUUUGUGACGGUACCUAGAUAAGAAGCACCGGCUAACUACGUG
This 465-nucleotide ribosomal RNA is filed under the name uncultured bacterium. Its description in RNAcentral is "partial 16S ribosomal RNA". It matches the Rfam family "Bacterial small subunit ribosomal RNA", at positions 28 to 507 of the family's 1533-position model. The record is from RNAcentral.